CCGCCGCUGAGCAGUCGGGGCCGGUGGGUGGCCUCGAACGCCGGGACAGACCGACAGACGGACUGGCCGGCAGUCCCGCGCCCCCGAGCGGAGCGGGCGGGACGGAAACGUCCGGGCAAGUUGGGGUCGGCAGGGUUGGAAGCCCAGCGAGGCUAGAGGCCAGUCCCAAAGUCUCCAGGCAUCAGGGCUGCAGCCCAGGAGCCUCAAGGCGGCCCGGCGGGCGACUGGACGGCCGGACAGGUGUCUCCAUGCUGGCCUCCCCGCCUCAGGGCUUCAUCCCACUCCGUGGGCCUGAUCUCCCUGGGGCACCUGGGAUGUCCAUCUGCAUUAGCUGGAGCUACUCCAUGGCCUGUGGCAUGCCACACACAGCGGCAUUUCGGUGUCAUUAGGCAUAGCUGGAGGUGCAAGGAGGAGGGCAGCCUCAUGUCCAGUUCCAUGUAACUUGCUUCUUCUGAAUAAAGGCAAUUUGCUAACUUCCUCGCUAAA
This 486-nucleotide small RNA is filed under the name Pan troglodytes (chimpanzee). RNAcentral describes it as "processed transcript". Lineage: Eukaryota; Metazoa; Chordata; Mammalia; Primates; Hominidae. The record is from RNAcentral.